Molecule: non-coding RNA, 27 nt
Filed under: Homo sapiens (human)
Lineage: Eukaryota; Metazoa; Chordata; Mammalia; Primates; Hominidae
Source: RNAcentral
UGUUCAGAUGUUGAAGCAUUAAUGGGC